This 409-nucleotide RNase P RNA is filed under the name Dankookia rubra. RNAcentral describes it as "Bacterial RNase P class A". It matches the Rfam family "Bacterial RNase P class A". Rfam says of the family: Ribonuclease P (RNase P) is a ubiquitous endoribonuclease, found in archaea, bacteria and eukarya as well as chloroplasts and mitochondria. Its best characterised activity is the generation of mature 5'-ends of tRNAs by cleaving the 5'-leader elements of precursor-tRNAs. The record is from Rfam by way of RNAcentral. Lineage: Bacteria; Pseudomonadati; Pseudomonadota; Alphaproteobacteria; Acetobacterales; Roseomonadaceae.
UCAGGUGGCCAGACGACCGCUGGUCCCCGCUGCGAGGCGGGGCUGGAGGAAAGUCCGGGCUCCACGGGAAAACGGUGCCGGCUAACGGCCGGCGAGGGCGACCUCAGGGACAGUGCCACAGAGAGCAGACCGCCCGCGCACCGCAAGGUCCGCGGGUAAGGGUGAAAGGGUGCGGCAAGAGCGCACCGCGCCCCCGGCAACGGGGGCGGCAUGGUAAACCCCACCGGGAGCAAGGCCGAAUAGGGGUGGUCGGCGGCGUUCCUUCGGGAGCGUGACGCGAGGGCCUUCCCGCCCCACCACCCGGGUUGGCCGCGUGAGGUACGCCGCGAGGCGUGCCCCAGAGGAAUGGUCGUCACAUCCCCGGCUUGCCGGGGGUGGACAGAACCCGGCUUACCGGCCACCUGGCGCA